UACGUAGGGGGCGAGCGUUGUCCGGAAUCAUUGGGCGUAAAGCGCGUGUAGGCGGCCCGGUAAGUCCGCUGUGAAAGUCCAGGGCUCAACCCUGGGAUGCCGGUGGAUACUGUCGGGCUCGAGUCCGGAAGAGGCGAGUGGAAUUCCUGGUGUAGCGGUGAAAUGCGCAGAUAUCAGGAAGAACACCCGUGGCGAAAGCGGCUCUCUGGAACGGUACUGACGCUGAGACGCGAAAGCGUGGGGAGCGAACAGG
Molecule: ribosomal RNA, 253 nt
Filed under: uncultured bacterium
Lineage: Bacteria
Description: partial 16S ribosomal RNA
Rfam family: Bacterial small subunit ribosomal RNA
Source: RNAcentral